This 200-nucleotide unclassified non-coding RNA is filed under the name soil metagenome. RNAcentral describes it as "partial contains internal transcribed spacer 2 and large subunit ribosomal RNA". The record is from RNAcentral.
UGAAAUGCAGGUGCAGCUGGACAUUCUCCUGAGCUAUAAGCAUAUUUAUUUAGUCCCAUCAAGCGGAUUAAUACUUUUGCUGCAGCUAACAUAAAGGGAGUUUGACCAUAUUGGCUGACUGAUGCAGGAUUUCACAAGGGUCGGCAACGAUUCUUGUAAAACUCGAUCUCAAAUCAAGUAAGACUACCCGCUGAACUUAA